AUUGAACGCUCGCGGGAUGCCUGACACAUGCAAGUCGAACGGAGUGGCGAAAGGGGGAGUAAUGUAGCGGAACGGGCCCAGUAGCGGGGGAUAACUACGAGAAAGCGAAGCUAAUACCACAGACAAUUGGAGCGGCCGAUAGCGGAUUAGCUAGUUGGUGGGGUAACGGCUACCCACGGCGACGAUCCUUAGCCGGUUUGAGAGGACGACCAGCCACACUGGGACUGAGACACGGCCCAGACUCCUGCGUGAGGCAGCAGUGGGGAAUUUUGGACAAUGGGUGAGACCCUGAUCCAGCCAUCCCGCGUGUGCGAAGAAGGCCGUCGGGUUGUAAAGCCCUUUUGGCAGGGAAGCGGUACCUGCAGACUAAGCACCGGCUAACUACGUGCCAGCAGCCGCGGUAAUAC
RNAcentral lists this ribosomal RNA (407 nucleotides) under uncultured bacterium. Its description in RNAcentral is "partial 16S ribosomal RNA". It matches the Rfam family "Bacterial small subunit ribosomal RNA", at positions 29 to 526 of the family's 1533-position model. The record is from RNAcentral.